Molecule: transfer RNA, 92 nt
Filed under: Alosa alosa (allis shad)
Lineage: Eukaryota; Metazoa; Chordata; Actinopteri; Clupeiformes; Clupeidae
Description: tRNA-Leu
Rfam family: tRNA
About the family: Transfer RNA (tRNA) molecules are approximately 80 nucleotides in length.
Source: RNAcentral
ACCAGGAUGGCGUUGGGUUAAGGCGUUGGACUUAAGAUCCAAUGGAUCUUAAUGUCCUGGGUGAUUAUUGGGUUCGAACCCCACUCCUGGUA